This 549-nucleotide ribosomal RNA is filed under the name uncultured bacterium. RNAcentral describes it as "bacterial SSU rRNA". It matches the Rfam family "Bacterial small subunit ribosomal RNA", at positions 355 to 896 of the family's 1533-position model. The record is from RNAcentral.
UAGGGAAUCUUCCUNCAAUGGGCGAAAGCCUGACGGAGCAACGCCGCGUGAGUGAAGAAGGAUUUCGGUUCGUAAAGCUCUGUUGUUAGGGAAGAAUGAUUGUGUAGUAACUAUACACAGUAGAGACGGUACCUAACCAGAAAGCCACGGCUAACUACGUGCCAGCAGCCGCGGUAAUACGUAGGUGGCAAGCGUUGUCCGGAAUUAUUGGGCGUAAAGCGCGCGCAGGUGGUUUAAUAAGUCUGAUGUGAAAGCCCACGGCUCAACCGUGGAGGGUCAUUGGAAACUGUUAAACUUGAGUGCAGGAGAGAAAAGUGGAAUUCCUAGUGUAGCGGUGAAAUGCGUAGAGAUUAGGAGGAACACCAGUGGCGAAGGCGGCUUUUUGGCCUGUAACUGACACUGAGGCGCGAAAGCGUGGGGAGCAAACAGGAUUAGAUACCCUGGUAGUCCACGCCGUAAACGAUGAGUGCUAAGUGUUGGUCUCAUAAGAGAUCAGUGCUGCAGCUAACGCAUUAAGCACUCCGCCUGGGGAGUACGACCGCAAGGUUG